RNAcentral lists this ribosomal RNA (439 nucleotides) under uncultured bacterium. RNAcentral's name for it is "partial 16S ribosomal RNA". It matches the Rfam family "Bacterial small subunit ribosomal RNA", at positions 339 to 795 of the family's 1533-position model. The record is from RNAcentral.
CUACGGGUGGCUGCAGUGAGGAAUAUUGCACAAUGGGGGGAACCCUGAUGCAGCAACGCCGCGUGGAGGAUGACGCAUUUCGGUGUGUAAACUCCUUUUAUAUGUCAAGAAAAUGACGGUAGCAUAUGAAUAAGCACCGGCGAACUCCGUGCCAGCAGCCGCGGUAAUACGGAGGGUGCAAGCGUUACUCGGAAUCACUGGGCGUAAAGGACGCGUAGGCGGGUUGGAAAGUCAGGUGUGAAAUCCUACAGCUUAACUGUAGAACUGCACUUGAAACUUCUAAUCUAGAGUAUGGGAGGGGCAGAUGGAAUUAGUGGUGUAGGGGUAAAAUCCGUAGAUAUCACUAGGAAUACCUAAAGCGAAGGCGAUCUGCUGGAACAUAACUGACGCUAAGGCGUGAAAGCGUGGGGAGCAAACAGGAUUAGAUACCCCAGUAGUC